This 200-nucleotide ribosomal RNA is filed under the name uncultured bacterium. RNAcentral describes it as "partial 16S ribosomal RNA". It matches the Rfam family "Bacterial small subunit ribosomal RNA", at positions 328 to 539 of the family's 1533-position model. The record is from RNAcentral.
ACGCUCGACACCUACGGGAGGAAGCAGUCGGGAAUAUUGCGCAAUGGAGGAAACUCUGACGCAGUGACGCCGCGUGCAGGAAGAAGGUUUUCGGAUUGUAAACUGCUUUAGACAGGGAAGAACAAAUGACAGUACCUGUAGAAUAAGCUCCGGCUAACUACGUGCCAGCAGCCGCGGUAAUCUGAGCGGGCUGGCAAGGC